AAGGAGGAGGUCUGAGAGACAGAGAGCAAACUAACAUUUCCUCGUUCUCUCCGUAUAUAAUAAUCCUAAGCAAAACGCAAUGCCACCAAAAAAGAUUCCUCCGUAUGCUGAGGAGGUUGACGACAUUAAACGAUCGUUAGACAUGUUGACCUGUUGUAAGACAGCAACAGAUAGCAAUUAUGAGCCUGGUGGAGGAAGUUAAAGCCCUGAGGCUAGAAAACUCCGAAAAAGAAAAGAGGAUAUUCUCGCUGGAAAAUCGGGUGGAUGAGCUGGAACAAUACACCCGAAUUAACAACAUCAUAAUCACUGGACUGGAGACGAAACCCUGCUCAUACGCUCGGGCGGCGACGAGGAUGACCGGAGGGGACACAAGCGAGGAGAAUGCUACAUCUGUGGAGCUACAGGUGACGGCCUUCCUCAACACCAAGGGAAUAGAGAUUGACAGCGACAACAUCGAGGCCUGUCACCCGCUACCACGGAGAAAUAAAACUGAUAAACCGGCAAUAAUAAUAAGGUUUGCCAACAGAAAACAUAAAACUGAACUUCUGAAACAGGGAAGAUGGCUUAAGGGCUCGGAUGUAUGAAUGAACACCUCACUAAAAGAAAUGCUGAGAUCGCCAGAAAGGCCCGAUUCCUGAGAAAACAGCAAAAAAUACAAUCAACAUGGACUGCAAACUGCAAAAUCUUCAUCAAGCUUAACGGAUCACCAGAACAAGCCAAAGUGUUAAUCAUCAGGGACCUGGAGGAACUGGAAAAAUACCAAUGAAACAAAUCAGACAAGGUAACGAAAAUAAAACACUACCAUGACAAUUCCA
Molecule: long non-coding RNA, 815 nt
Organism: Gymnodraco acuticeps
Lineage: Eukaryota; Metazoa; Chordata; Actinopteri; Perciformes; Bathydraconidae
Exons: 2
Source: RefSeq, a predicted model, not a curated record